AGUGUUAUCUAGGCCCUCUGGCCUCAACAAAAUCCCAGCUUUAUUCUUUCCUCAAAUACUAUUUUAUUAAAAAAUCCUCUCUGUGUGAGAGGACUUUUAAAAACGCGUAUUUUAAAAAAUAUAUUAGAACAUGGGAACUUUCAAAUGCUGGCAAGCUGCACCCUUGUGUGAAUGUGAAUAGGACACGAUGUGCCUGCUGUCUCUUGCCUCAGUGUUGCUGAGACUUUCCUUUCCUUUCCUCAGCUGGGAUUGAGCCCUGGAUCCACAGGUUUGGCUUGGAGCAGGCUUCAGCUGCCAUGCAGCCUCCGAGUCCUGGUGCUGUUUCCUGUGAUAGACGCCCAGUGCAUGCACCAGUGAGUCCUGCUGAGGGCUGGGCUGCUGUGUGAGGCUCCUCUGGGGGCUGAUGCUCAGAGGCUGAUAUCAUCGUGCUGGAACCAGGCUUUGUGGCGACAUGCCUCUCCCUCCCUCCGGCAUCCAGCUCGCCCUGGCCACAUGUGCAGCCCAGGCCACGACCUCGGCCUUGGCUGGGCUCUGACGCCCAUUUAACAGUCAGAGGCUGGAAAGGGAGUUGCUGCUGUGCUAUUUUUAACCAGCUGGACAGUUAAAUAAUUCAGAGGCAGACACACACAGAGUGGUCUGGGCUGUGUGUGGAUCUGAGAGGGAACAAGAGCAUUGUAUCGACCCUGCUGGGCUUGCUUAACCUCAUCAAGCAUGGGUUCUCAGGCUCUUUAAUACAAACAUGAAACAAAAACUAAACUUUCAGAAGUAAAAUCCCUGCCUUACUGGUGUCAAUGGGACUCCUGGCUCUGACUGCAAUGGAGCCUGGAUCACACUUAGCUGCAAGGCAAGAGCUGUUCAGUAUUUCCUUGCUUUCUAAUGCUGCAUAAUUUUUUUUUCCAUGACAAUAAAACCCACUUAUGGUGAGUAGA
Non-coding RNA from Cyanistes caeruleus (blue tit), 929 nucleotides. NCBI's taxonomy places the organism in Eukaryota, Metazoa, Chordata, Aves, Passeriformes, Paridae. The record is from RefSeq and is a predicted model, not a curated record.